CGAGGUUCCUGGAACCUCGUAAAAAAAUCUGGGAAUCUUCACAACUGCCAACGACAACUUGGCCCUGGCUGCGUAACCUACGCUCAGCGUAGUGAUAUGCACCUGCCUGAAUCGGAGAGCUCCUGACCCGCCGACCAGGUAUUGCAAAUUCGGGAUAGCGGUUGGAGGCGGUUUCCCUUCAGUCGCGAAACUCUAGAGACCUUGUCCUGCCGUAGCCCCGCCUUCCGGGUCGCGGCUGGAGAGACAAAGACGGAAGGCUACGCACGUAGAUGCCGUGGUGAAUCUUGCUUCGGACCGGGGUUCGAAUCCCCGCGCCUCCACUG
RNAcentral lists this transfer-messenger RNA (323 nucleotides) under Gemmatimonadota bacterium. Its description in RNAcentral is "partial transfer-messenger RNA". It matches the Rfam family "transfer-messenger RNA", at positions 51 to 374 of the family's 374-position model. Rfam says of the family: Bacterial tmRNA, also known as 10Sa RNA or SsrA, is named for its dual tRNA and mRNA-like properties. Its role is to liberate the mRNA from a stalled ribosome. To accomplish this part of the tmRNA is used as a reading frame that ends in a translation stop signal. The record is from RNAcentral. Lineage: Bacteria; Pseudomonadati; Gemmatimonadota.